RNAcentral lists this ribosomal RNA (253 nucleotides) under uncultured bacterium. RNAcentral describes it as "partial 16S ribosomal RNA". It matches the Rfam family "Bacterial small subunit ribosomal RNA", at positions 524 to 776 of the family's 1533-position model. The record is from RNAcentral.
UACGUAGGGGGCGAGCGUUGUCCGGAUUCAUUGGGCGUAAAGCGCGCGUAGGCGGCUCGACAAGUCGGCCGUGAAAUCUCCAGGCUCAACUUGGAGGGGUCGGGCGAGACUGUCGGGCUCGAGGUGGGCAGAGGGCAGUGGAAUUCCGGGUGUAGUGGUGGAAUGCGUAGAGAUCCGGAGGAACACCAGUGGCGAAGGCGGCUGCCUGGGCCUGGCCUGACGCUGAGGCGCGAAAGCGUGGGGAGCAAACGGG